This 253-nucleotide ribosomal RNA is filed under the name uncultured bacterium. RNAcentral's name for it is "partial 16S ribosomal RNA". It matches the Rfam family "Bacterial small subunit ribosomal RNA", at positions 524 to 776 of the family's 1533-position model. The record is from RNAcentral.
UACGGAGGAUGCAAGCGUUAUCCGGAAUUAUUGGGCGUAAAGCGUCCGCAGGUGGUUAUCCAAGUCUGCUGUUAAAGCGCGAGGCUUAACUUCGUACAGGCAGUGGAAACUGGGUGACUGGAGUAUGGUAGGGGUAGCGGGAAUUCCCAGUGUAGCGGUGAAAUGCGUAGAUAUUGGGAAGAACACCAGCGGCGGAAGCGCGCUACUGGGCCAUUACUGACACUCAUGGACGAAAGCUAGGGGAGCGAAAGGG